GACGAACGCUGGCGGCGCGCCUAACACAUGCAAGUCGAACGAGCGAGAGAGAGCUUGCUUUCUUGAGCGAGUGGCGAACGGGUGAGUAACGCGUGAGGAACCUGCCUCAAAGAGGGGGACAACAGUUGGAAACGACUGCUAAUACCGCAUAAGCCCACGACCCGGCAUCGGGUUGAGGGAAAAGGAGCAAUCCGCUUUGGGAUGGCCUCGCGUCCGAUUAGCUAGUUGGUGAGGUAACGGCCCACCAAGGCGACGAUCGGUAGCCGGACUGAGAGGUUGAACGGCCACAUUGGGACUGAGACACGGCCCAGACUCCUACGGGAGGCAGCAGUGGGGAAUAUUGCACAAUGGGGGAAACCCUGAUGCAGCGACGCCGCGUGGAGGAAGAAGGUCUUCGGAUUGUAAACUCCUGUUGUUGAGGAAGAUAAUGACGGUACUCAACAAGGAAGUGACGGCUAACUACGUG
Molecule: ribosomal RNA, 466 nt
Filed under: uncultured bacterium
Lineage: Bacteria
Description: partial 16S ribosomal RNA
Rfam family: Bacterial small subunit ribosomal RNA
Source: RNAcentral